AUUGAACGCUGGCGGCAUGCUUUACACAUGCAAGUCGAACGGCAGCGCGGGCUUCGGCCUGGCGGCGAGUGGCGAACGGGUGAGUAAUACAUCGGAACGUGCCCAGUAGAGGGGGAUAGCUCGGCGAAAGCCGGAUUAAUACCGCAUACGACCUGAGGGUGAAAGCGGGGGAUCUUCGGACCUCGCGCUAUUGGAGCGGCCGAUGGCAGAUUAGCUAGUUGGUGGGGUAAAGGCCUACCAAGGCGACGAUCUGUAGCUGGUCUGAGAGGACGACCAGCCACACUGGGACUGAGACACGGCCCAGACUCCUACGGGAGGCAGCAGUGGGGAAUUUUGGACAAUGGGCGAAAGCCUGAUCCAGCAAUGCCGCGUGUGUGAUGAAGGCCUUCGGGUUGUAAAGCACUUUUGGCGGGAACGAAAAGGACUGUGCCAAUACCACGGUUCGAUGACGGUACCCGCAGAAUAAGCACCGGCUAACUACGUG
Molecule: ribosomal RNA, 484 nt
Filed under: uncultured bacterium
Lineage: Bacteria
Description: partial 16S ribosomal RNA
Rfam family: Bacterial small subunit ribosomal RNA
Source: RNAcentral